Molecule: transfer RNA, 55 nt
Filed under: Oedodera marmorata
Lineage: Eukaryota; Metazoa; Chordata; Lepidosauria; Squamata; Diplodactylidae
Description: partial tRNA-Cys
Source: RNAcentral
UCAGAUUGCAAAUUUGAAAACGCUUCCUUUAUUGGUGCCGGGGCUUCUCCCGUUU